Hypanus sabinus (Atlantic stingray) is the source of this 1343-nucleotide long non-coding RNA. RefSeq lists it as uncharacterized. The transcript has 2 exons. The record is from RefSeq and is a predicted model, not a curated record. Lineage: Eukaryota; Metazoa; Chordata; Chondrichthyes; Myliobatiformes; Dasyatidae.
CAUGUUGAAACGAGUGUUCCGAGUGCCGCCUGUUGGGACACUCCCAGUGACUGUAGUUUGUGGGCUCGGCUUGCGUUGCUUUGGAAGCUGCAGCUAUGCGUUCCGACUCCGACACCUUCAGCAGGGGUCUGGAACCAGACAGUUUCCCCGCCGCCAAACUGAACCGGUGACUCCCGCAAUGACAGACCAAAAAGGAUGCAGACUGUCCAGCAGAGUUCCUCCAGCCUUUUGUGUGUGUUGAUCUUGGCUUCUCGUAUCACUCAGCACUGCCAUCUGUUUAACAGGACAUCCCCUUGGGAUUUCUAAUGAUUAACAGGACAGCCCAGGAUGUGCACCAGAUGCUGGGCUGUCAACAAUUCCAUACUUUAGAAAUAAACACAGAAUAACUUUCCUCCCAACAUGUGAAAGGAAGCACAAGAGGCUUCAGCUGAUCCAGGGAUGGGGUCCUGCUUCACAUCUGCAGGUGCAGGUACCCCAGGAAGUAUGCUGCCUGUGCACAGCAGGAUCCCACAAGCAACUCACCAAGGGCAAUCAAUGCUAGGCCUGAUGAAGGGCCUCGACCCAAAAUGUUGACUGCUUCUUUCAACGGACGCUGCCCAACCUGCGGAGUUCAUCCAGCUUUUUUGUGCGUCUCAAUACUAGGCCUACUUUGGGACUGGCCAUCCAGCCAAUCCUCAUUAGGAGAUUGGAGGUGAAGUAGUCAGUAACAUUAAAUUCCUUGACGUUACCAUAUCAAACAGUCUGUCCUCGGACAGCACAUAAAUGUCAUCACAAAGAAGGCACAACGGUACCUCUAAUUUCUUAAGGUUUGCAUGGAUUCAGUAUGUCAUCUAAUACUUCUGUGAAAUUCUAUAGAUCCCCAGUGCAGAGAUUUCUGACCAGUUGCACUAUGACCUGGUAUGGACACUCCGAUGUCCAAGAAUGGAAAAGCCCUACAAAACUUGGUUGACACUGUCCAAUCUAUCACAGGGAAAGGCCUCUCCACCAUUGAGCACAUUUACAAGGAGUGGUACCACAAGAAAGCAGCAUCCAUCAUCAAGACCAUGCUCUCUUCUACACACUACCAUCAGGAAAAUUGUACAGAAGCCUUAGGGCCCAUGCCACCAGGCUCAGGAACAAUUAUAACCCUUCAACCAUCAGGCUUGUCAACUGGCGUGGAUAACCUCACCCACCACAACACUAAGCAGAUUCCAUAACCUAAAACUCACAUUCAAGGACUCUACAACUCAUGUUCUUAGUUUUAGUUAUUUAUUUACUUUUCAAAGUUCUUUGCAUAAUUUUCCUUCAUUUGCACAUUAUUUGUUUGUCAAUCUUUGAUUAAAUCGAGAUCAGUUUUUCAUAAA